CAUCUUCAACCUGUUGCGGGCAGAUCCAGUGGAUGUGGCUGUCAAAUCCGCCAGCCGUCAGGAUCUUGCCUUCCCCGGCAAUCGCUUCCGUUCCCGGGCCAACGAUAAUAUCGACAUUCGGUUGUGUGUCGGGGUUUCCGGCCUUGCCUAUCGCGGCAAUGCGUCCAUCCUUAAGACCGACAUCGGCCUUGUAGAUGCCUGUAACAUCUACAAUCAGUGCGUUGGUGAUGAUCGUAUCAACAGCGCCAUCUGCGCGGGUGGUCUGGGCUUGUCCCAUGCCAUCACG
This 286-nucleotide small RNA is filed under the name Roseibium sp. TrichSKD4. RNAcentral's name for it is "5' ureB small RNA". It matches the Rfam family "5' ureB small RNA". The record is from Rfam by way of RNAcentral. Lineage: Bacteria; Pseudomonadati; Pseudomonadota; Alphaproteobacteria; Hyphomicrobiales; Stappiaceae.